This 1343-nucleotide ribosomal RNA is filed under the name uncultured bacterium. RNAcentral describes it as "16S ribosomal RNA". It matches the Rfam family "Bacterial small subunit ribosomal RNA", at positions 28 to 1378 of the family's 1533-position model. The record is from RNAcentral.
GACGAACGCUGGCGGCGUGCUUAACACAUGCAAGUCGAACGGAAAGGCCCUGCUUUUGUGGGGUGCUCGAGUGGCGAACGGGUGAGUAACACGUGAGUAACCUGCCCUUGACUUUGGGAUAACUUCAGGAAACUGGGGCUAAUACCGGAUAGGAGCUCCUGCUGCAUGGUGGGGGUUGGAAAGUUUCGGCGGUUGGGGAUGGACUCGCGGCUUAUCAGCUUGUUGGUGGGGUAGUGGCUUACCAAGGCUUUGACGGGUAGCCGGCCUGAGAGGGUGACCGGCCACAUUGGGACUGAGAUACGGCCCAGACUCCUACGGGAGGCAGCAGUGGGGAAUAUUGCACAAUGGGCGGAAGCCUGAUGCAGCAACGCCGCGUGCGGGAUGACGGCCUUCGGGUUGUAAACCGCUUUCGCCUGUGACGAAGCGUGAGUGACGGUAAUGGGUAAAGAAGCACCGGCUAACUACGUGCCAGCAGCCGCGGUGAUACGUAGGGUGCGAGCGUUGUCCGGAUUUAUUGGGCGUAAAGGGCUCGUAGGUGGUUGAUCGCGUCGGAAGUGUAAUCUUGGGGCUUAACCCUGAGCGUGCUUUCGAUACGGGUUGACUUGAGGAAGGUAGGGGAGAAUGGAAUUCCUGGUGGAGCGGUGGAAUGCGCAGAUAUCAGGAGGAACACCAGUGGCGAAGGCGGUUCUCUGGGCCUUUCCUGACGCUGAGGAGCGAAGGCGUGGGGAGCGAACAGGCUUAGAUACCCUGGUAGUCCACGCUGUAAACGGUGGGUACUAGGUGUGGGGUCCAUUCCACGGGUUCCGUGCCGUAGCUAACGCUUUAAGUACCCCGCCUGGGGAGUACGGCCGCAAGGCUAAAACUCAAAGGAAUUGACGGGGCCCCGCACAAGCGGCGGAGCAUGCGGAUUAAUUCGAUGCAACGCGUAGAACCUUACCUGGGUUUGACAUGGAUCGGGAGUGCUCAGAGAUGGGUGUGCCUCUUUUGGGGUCGGUUCACAGGUGGUGCAUGGCUGUCGUCAGCUCGUGUCGUGAGAUGUUGGGUUAAGUCCCGCAACGAGCGCAACCCUUGUUCACUGUUGCCAGCACGUUAUGGUGGGGACUCAGUGGAGACCGCCGGGGUCAACUCGGAGGAAGGUGGGGAUGACGUCAGGUCAUCAUGCCCCUUAUGUCCAGGGCUUCACGCAUGCUACAAUGGCUGGUACAGAGAGUGGCGAGCCUGUGAGGGUGAGCGAAUCUCGGAAAGCCGGUCUCAGUUCGGAUUGGGGUCUGCAACUCGACCUCAUGAAGUCGGAGUCGCUAGUAAUCGCAGAUCAGCAACGCUGCGGUGAAUACGUUCCCGGG